RNAcentral lists this ribosomal RNA (1224 nucleotides) under Triticum aestivum (bread wheat). Its description in RNAcentral is "partial small subunit ribosomal RNA". The record is from RNAcentral. Lineage: Eukaryota; Viridiplantae; Streptophyta; Magnoliopsida; Poales; Poaceae.
AUGAAAUCCUCCAACAUUCCUCGAAUCCCCUCGACAUUGCCGCGCCAUUCCGAGUCUCGGUCGCUAAUGGCAAUGCAGACGAGCACGGCGCAACCGCUGCCGCUGCCCCCGCGUCUCUCGACCUCCCCGCCUUCCUCGCCGGCCACCGUCGGCGCCCUCCUCACCAAUGCUGCCUGCGCCAGCAGGAUCCGGCGCGAGUGCCGCUCACCACGGUCCUUGCUGGCGCGCAUUUUCGGCAGGGGCAGCGGCGGGUUCGGCUGCCGCAUGCGCAUCCCCCGCUACUGCUCCAGCGGCGCCGGAGCGGCCGCCGAGGAGGACGCCGUACAGGAGGAGGUGGCCGCGCCUAAGGUGGUCGUGGCGAGCAAGCAAGAAGCAGAGGUUCGCGAGUCGCCUCGGAGUUCCCUGCAGGGGUUGAAGGCGGCGCCGGAGGUGUCGGCGGCGAGCCUCGGGCUGGGCGCGGGCCUGGUGCUGCUGCUGUCCAGGGGCGCGGCGGAGCUGAGCAGGAUGGCGGAGCUGCGCGCCCAGAAGGAGCGGCUGGUGAUGGACGUCAGGGCGGAGGCGCGUGGCAGCAGCCGCUCCGACUUGUCUGACGGCGGCCAUGUCGACGACGGUGCCAGCGUCGUGAAGGAGCGCAUCGUCUUUGCUGACGCCGGCGGCGAGGACGCCUCGUUGUUCCGUGGUUCACGCGAUGCCGCCUCGGCGUGCGGCGAUGCCGGCGUUGGAGAUGCUGUCGCUGCGAUGGAUCAGAUGGAAGCGGAGCUCGAGGCGGAACUGACGCGCCUGCAGCUCGACUCCGACGAGGGCGACGGGGAGGAGGAAUGCGUGAGACCGCGGCGAGAUCACCAGCUCGAGUCCGAGGCGAAGAGCGACAUCUCAUCGGAGAGCGGCUCCCUUGCUUGCGUCCACAUAGACGGUGUCCUCGGUGACGCGGCAAGAGAUUGCAAGGAACACGAAGACAACGAGGAGGAGGAGGAGGAGGAGGAGGGAGAUACUGACGAGGAGGUCGAAGAGAGCAAGCCGUGCCACGGCGGCGUGCCGGCGCGGGUGCUGGAGCGGAGGCUGCACGAGCUCCUGCAGUUGCGGCACGAGCAGCGGAUCGCGGAGCUGGAGACGGAGCUGCAGCGCGCGCAGAGGAAGCUGCGGGACAAGGAGCGCGAGGUGUCCCGGUGGCGUGACACCGCCAAGCUCGUCUCCCGCCACAAGGACGAGUCGCGGCUCCGGUAG